Long non-coding RNA from Trichoplusia ni (cabbage looper), 6460 nucleotides. RefSeq lists it as uncharacterized. The record is from RefSeq and is a predicted model, not a curated record. NCBI's taxonomy places the organism in Eukaryota, Metazoa, Arthropoda, Insecta, Lepidoptera, Noctuidae. The transcript is spliced from 2 exons.
CAAAAAAUAUAACAACAUUUAGAAAAGGACAGGAAUACAUUGACAACAAUUUAGCAUUCAAAGGUUUUCUCCACGUAACUUUUUUACCGCAUUCGUUUAAUUGGACUUCAAACAAGUUUUACCAUUCGACCAUAAAAUUCUCAAAGAUAAUAACCCAAAUGCAUCAAACAUUUAGGUUAUUCGGAUUCUAGUUCAAUAUUUAAUAGUCUAACUAAAUAGAAAAUGAAAAUUAUUUUGAUUUCCCGUUAGUUCACGUUGUUACGAAUUUAGUUUCGCCUCUCAAUCUUUAACAACUAUGCUAUUCCAACAGUAGAAACAACAGUUAAACAAUGGACAUGUUUAAAUGUGACUCACGGGACAAAGAAAAUGGGGUAACAACCCUGUGCCAAACUUUGGUACAUAUUCUAACAUUUACGUAGUAUUUUUGGGCCAUUAGUUUGAGUACCUAAAUGUGAAGCAAGAUAGCCCCUUAUGGUGUAAUAUUUCUGUAGAAAGUGCACCGAAAUGACAAAUGUUGUCAAUAUUUUCAUUGUCAUGACUGUAGUUAGACCGCAACGGGUUUUUAAAGUUACUCUCGUUUGUAGAAGUAUUAUUUUUCUCUCCAAAAAACAUUGCUAUUAGAGACUGAAUAUUUAAAAUGAUAAAUGUUAAUGAGAGCGUGUGAUGUCGUUUAAGACAUGCAUGUCUAGUGGCUGGUCUGGUUCUCGGUCACACGGGACGGUCGUUUGACGCACGCAGCAUGCAUCCGCACACGCACUCAUUGCUCAGGAUUCGCAUACAUUUUUUUCAUUAUUUUUGUAACUAUCCUUGCCGAUCGUGAGAAACAGAACUCGAUCGUCUCGUCCUGUUCGUGAUCUUAGCAGCGUUUACUCGUUUCGAUAUCUUAUUUUUAAUCUGCUUUUUAUACCUUGCUCGAUACAGUUUAUUGAAGACGGUUCAUUUUUUUAAUACACAGGCAUUACAGUAAAUUGUCGUCGUAAACCGGAUACUUCUGAUCUAUCUGAUAAAUAUUUAAUUGGUUUUCUUGACAGUGUUUUUAUCGUGGGCGACCAAAUGCGGUUUAUGUACAUUGUAAAAUAUGUCUGACCGUAUUUCUAACCUUUGCUGCGUUCGUUCAGUAAAUUAGACACAGUUGUUGAAACGAUAAUGCGAGUGAAACUUCACAUGUUGAAAUGAUUGCAGGUAAAAUUCCUUUAAAGUUAUUGAACUAAACCCGGUAGGUACCAAUGUUUAUGUUAUGGGCUCACUACCGUCUAAACAUAACUAACAUAAUGUAAUAUUUAUAUAAAUAUUAUUUUCUGAAGUCGUGUGAGUAAUGGAAGUUUAGUCUUGGUAUAAUAAGGCUGCGUCAAAAAUUGAUUAACGAAAAUCAUACUAUAAGCGAAUGUCAUAAGGUUCGCGUUGUGUAACAAACAAUACAUUGUAAUUGAAAAGGGUUGAGCAUUGACGUAACAUGUUGGCUGGCUGCACGCGCACUUGCACAGAUGUGCCGUAAUGGCACGGAGGACUGAGUGCGCGGAGGGCGACGCAUACAUUUGAUAUUUUCAUGAGCCUGUUUUGCCACAACGUUGCUGUUUUGGGAGCAACUGUUCACUGAUGUAUGCUAUUUAAACUGGUUUGCGUGAAUUCUGCCCUAACGAUAUAUUGCAGUUCGAAAAUACAAUUUAUGGGUGCCGUGUGUACCGGAACAAUUACUAUGCAAACAUUGAGCGAUUACCAGCCGAUAGGGAGGCCAAAUGUAAUUAAGUUUUGUAUUAAACUGUAGAGUCACGAGUUACCAUGUAUUAUCUAAACAAAUAAAUGAUUUGCGCCAGCAGCUGGCAUCGAAAUAUCAAAGAAAUAAAUAAUGACAUCGCACCGUCUAACUUCGAAUACGAAAUAAGAAAGAUAUAAAAAUGUAAAGGAGGUGUUCGAAUGAAUAUUUUAUAGAACGUGUUAGCCACAGUAGUUGGUGCUUGUUGUCACAUUGCAGGCAGCACACGUAGUCACGGUCAGUACAAGUCUAAUGUCUUGUGUGUGUCAAUGUUAGUAACAACAUUACUUUUUUGUGUAAAAUCUACGUCUAUGUUGUACGGAUACUUUUACUAUAGAUUUUAUGAGUUAUACUACAACAAGCAUCAUUGGAUCUUUUACGUAUUUAAUAAAUACUCUUUCAGCAGAUGCAAGCUCAAUAUAUUGUAAAUAAGAUAAGGCUGCAGUGGCGCAAACCCGUUUGACACUUGAGCCUUAAUGUGGAGACAGAUGCAGCGACGUGACGAAACCCCACACGAUCUCACGCGGAUCAGGAAGCUGCGGUUAUUUUCCGUCAACCGCAAUAAAUAACAAUCCAAAAGAACGCGGGGUUUAACGUACGCCUUGAAGGACUAUGUUAAGACGAUAAAAGACAGCUUCUCGCCAUUUUUCCAUAUCAGCACGCAAUUUAUUGCCCCUUGUGGCGGUGUCACGCUUGUAAUGUGUCUUUGAACAAUGUAGGAUAUCAGUGCUACAAUAAAGAGGUACGUGCCACGAAUACAGACGACUUGCCUGAUAAAUAUUACGUUUUAAUUUGUAUCCGUUCAUAAGAAGUUUGAUGCUAUAAUGAGCAGAAAUUAUAAUUUCUAAUUUACAACCAUAAAAACGAUAUGCAGUGUUUAAUUGACAGUGGUGUUAGAUGUAAUUUUACGCUUAUUAGGCAAGCGGGUGGCUUAGAAAAGACUACAGUAGUCUAGACUGUAUGUGCCGUUAUUUUAAUUAAUAGCAAUUAAAGAACUUUUUGUUGAUGAUGACUUAUGAAGCUCCGUGUGGUCCACUCUCGUAAAAUGAUAGAGCUAUUCCCCGUUUCGUGAUAUUUCCCGACUUGUUCUAAUUCCUGUAUAUUUCUGUUAUCCCGGGCUCAGCUCGUUACAGAUAAGCCUGGGUGUUAUGCAGUUUGCUCGGAUAUGUGUAGCUAACGUACGUGCACACUGCAUAAUGAGCACACUUAGCGUCACUGUAAACGUUAACCAUUCAUAUACCUAUAUUUUGUAGGUCGCCUGUAUUUACGUAUGUCACGUUUAGUGGGACGACUAACGCGACUUGUGCGAUACACAGGUGUUAAUUGAGUCAUUUCAACACAAAGUUGUAUGCUGAAAAUUAGUAGGUAGUCACAUAAUCUUGAGCCUUAAAUAAUUAUUAAAUUUACAAUGAAGAGUCCACGUUUUUGUGUGAUUUAGAGUAACAUAAGAAGCUAUCUAUAUUCAUUCUGUACUGAUAUUAACUUUCUAAGGCAGUAAUCUGUGAACGAUCUUCAAGGUUCAUGGGAAUGAACUUAGCCGCAAACAAUUGAAAAUCUUGUAAAUGCUGUAGAGCUUUUAUUCACUAAAUCAAAUAGAUUAAUCAUUAUAAAGUACUAUUCAUUUGUGCUCUACUAAAAAAAUAUAUGUUUUAGUUAAUAUCUAAUAAUUGUUUCUUCAUAGAUAAAUACUUGUUUGCGAACUACACAUAUUUUGAUAAAUACAACUUGCUAGCGUAGCGAUAAGGAAGCGAUAAGACCCGACAUAAAACGUAAUUUUAUUACUAAUUACAAUUUUGACACGAAUCUAUACAAUAUACUCACUUCAUUUGACUGGUCAUACAAGAAAUGUAGAGACGAAACUAGUCCCGUCGCAAGGUAUGCGACGCAUCAUUGUAGUGUAUGUUCCUAUUGUUCGCUUUUUCAUAUAGAAUUAAGAGUCUACAAUGUCUACAUAUCAUAAAGAGUUGCAUACCUUGCGUACGCAGGCUCAGUUUGUCGCUACUUUAUUGUAAUUCACCCGAGCGUAUAACAUAAUAAUGUUCAAGACAUCACUGUUCAGCUGCAAAGAAACAUUGCUAUCUAAGUUAUCCUUUACAAGUCAAAGGUUUUUAAAUAUCAUAACACGAGGACUUCGGUCUUCGUUUUUAUUGUAAACAACAUUGAUAUUACCUACAAUACAAAUCACGGACAGGAAAUAAGAACGUGAGGAUAUGACACAUUGUAUAAUUAAAUUAAUCAUUGUUAGUCACUUAGUACUUAUAUAACAAUGUCCAUCUUUUAUUAUUUGGUUUAUCAUGGAUUAUUAUUAAUGAAGUUGUAAAUAUAGCAGUACAAUGCCGCAUUAUUUUGUGAAUAAUUAGGAUUUAAGCAACACAGCUCGACGGCUAACGAACUAUUCAUGAAUUUACUAAUAGUACUUUUUUGAAUACCUAAUUCUAGUCUAAUGUACGAUUUUGACACAACAUUCAGCUCUAUAUUUCCCUUGUAUGUGCAGACGGGUAGAGUAGGUAAGCUGUUAGUUUAUCGGACAUUUAUUUUUAGAUAAGUUCACUGUCCCAGCCCGCGUCAGGUAUAAGAACGAAAUGGCUUCCUUAAUGUCACCAGCAGACUACGAUGGCCACUUGUUUCCAUCCUACUUAUAAGAAAAUGGAAUGAACUUCCCUCUGUUCAUAACGAAAAACUAUUUAAUAGAAUGUUUUUCUCAAAGAGGAAAGCACUCUAGUACUCUACAUCAUUAUAAGUUUUGCGUUACUCACAGUUUUAAAAUAUUUUGCUUUGUUAUGACCUGGUUAUUCCCGUGGGUUUGUGAAUUGAUAAAGGUAGGCAUGUAGGAUAUUUUCUGUAAUGUGUUUAUGUGAGUACCUACACUGAGUGUAUCCACAUAUUUUAACCAUGACUGUUUCACCGAUGAGUAUUCCUUCCCACAAGCAUUUAAUUGAGUACUUAUAGUUAUUAUUAAUGAUUUCGCAUUAUAUAAGUAUUGUAAUAGGAUUGGAAAACAUAUUAAGAGUAAGUACGAGUGAUUAUUUCCUGUUUUACUAUAUUACUUAUAAGUCAUUACUAAUUUGCUUUACUAUCUCUAUUGCAGGUUUUAUUCCAUUCUUACCAAAAAUUAAACAAAAUUAAAUGUUGUUAUUUUACUAUUUUAUUAUUUUAUUUUAUUAUUUGAUGCAAAUAACUGCUCCGUUUGUUUAUUUGAAAUUGGUUAUAUAAUCUGGACAAAGCCUUAAUAGGACUCUUUGAAUUAAAGUUAUUUGCUUUAUUAUUAUUUAUUAAACCUAUUUGCGUAAUUGGCGGUUAAUAAAUAUUAUUGCAAAUGUAAUUGGAUAACUGAAUUAUUUAUUAUACAGUGUCAAUACCAAAAUUUGGCGCUAUUCGAAAAUGUAGCCCAAAUUAAGUAAUAAAUGAACUUUAAUAAAACUGGAUGUUAAUUCGAUAUUGCAGCAAAUAAUGUAGAAUUUUGACAAAACCGUUGGAGCGGGUUAAAUAGGAUCAUGUAAAUUAAAUUAUCAGUUUUGGGAUGGCAGAACACCCUUUUAAUUAGUAGGAUUAUUGGUGGAGCUUAAAUUUGAUUGGUUUAUUUAUUAAAAAAAUAAAUGUGUCAUUCUAUGCAUAUUCUACUUGAAACGUUUAACAUUUUGGAAGUAGUUCUGUGAGUAGGCCUUGUGCGUUGCAUUGACCCAUUGGCCCUAGUUACAACUAGUUAACAUUUAGUGUGCCCCGACUCAACGCAUCUGGUAUUUUCGUUGACUAUCUUGUCUGUGACACAUGGCGCACACUAACUCAGGAUGUUGAUAAUGAUUUUCAUUCAUAACUAUUGUUAAGUAAAGUAAUUGUUUUGUCUAUUUAUAAGUUGAGCGUCGUAGGAUCUUACGCUACAAUGAAUCAGUACAACAUAAUUAGAUAGGUCAAUGACAUUCCUUUCGGAGGCAUGUUCUAGAAGCAUAUUCUGUGUUUUUUUUUAUAAAUUCAUCGUGUUUGUAACGUAGUUUUAGUAGACUUUUGUAUCACAUUCAAUCGGUUAUAGUGCCCUAAAAAGAGUAUGUAUGUAAAAUGGCUACUAAUUAAUAAAAUUUAAAACUCUGUGGUCGCAAGUGGGAUGUGUCAGUGUAGGUGGAUGACAUAAUUCAAUUAGAAACUAGUUCAAGUGAACAAAUUAGUACAGAACAACAUUAGUAAUGCUACGUAAUUAAAAUUUUCGGCGAUGUGGCGAUGACUAAUAUGUAGAAGAAUCUAUUCUUGUUUCCUAUUUUUUUAUGAGAUAUUUACUUUACAACUCCCUAGUUCUUAUGCUCUUAAUCUUGAGGAUAAAACAAUGACGGAUGAAAAGGUAGAACAAUGCUUGUUGCAGUGGGCGCGUUCACGAAGCCAGCGCGUAGAGUAUCGCAGUCGCGUGCUCUCGCGGCGCAUUCAGCAGGGGCACUGGCGCGACAGAGGCGCCCCACUAUCUCGCGCCAGAACUUGCCCGACAGGCUUCUCUACUUCUUUUUCGAACGUGCGCGUGCGCCGCGCCGAUGCCACGUUUCGUCCCGAUACGUUGCCAGUUCUACAGUAUUUUUUUUGUUUUGUGUUGACGCUUCUAAAUGAGGGGCCAUAAAAUAGAAACGUGGUUUGACGAAUAAAAAAUUAGGAGGGUAAUAUUAGUUAGUUACCGAUUCUUCUCUACACUUUUUAAGCUACUUGAAUAAAGUCACUGUUAUAAUGCAA